This 376-nucleotide ribosomal RNA is filed under the name uncultured bacterium. Its description in RNAcentral is "bacterial SSU rRNA". It matches the Rfam family "Bacterial small subunit ribosomal RNA", at positions 524 to 898 of the family's 1533-position model. The record is from RNAcentral.
UACGGAGGGGGCGAGCGUUAUUCGGAAUUAUUGGGCGUAAAGGGCGCGUAGGCGGCCUGAUAAGUCAAAGGUGAAAUCCCUCGGCUCAACUGAGGAAUUGCCUUUGAAACUGUCAGGCUUGAGGCCGGGAGGGGGUGGCGGAAUUCCCAGUGUAGCGGUGAAAUGCGUAGAUAUUGGGAGGAACACCAGUGGCGAAGGCGGCCACCUGGACCGGUUCUGACGCUGAUGCGCGAAAGCGUGGGGAGCAAACAGGAUUAGAUACCCUGGUAGUCCACGCUGUAAACGAUGGGUACUCGGUGUCGUGGGUAUCGACCCCUACGGUGCCUUAGCUAACGCGUUAAGUACCCCGCCUGGGGAGUACGGUCGCAAGGCUGAA